GACGAACGCUGGCGGCGUGCUUAACACAUGCAAGUCGAACGGAAAGGCCCUGCUUUUGUGGGGUGCUCGAGUGGCGAACGGGUGAGUAACACGUGAGUAACCUGCCCUUGACUUUGGGAUAACUUCAGGAAACUGGGGCUAAUACCGGAUAGGAGCUCCUGCUGCAUGGUGGGGGUUGGAAAGUUUCGGCGGUUGGGGAUGGACUCGCGGCUUAUCAGCUUGUUGGUGGGGUAGUGGCUUACCAAGGCUUUGACGGGUAGCCGGCCUGAGAGGGUGACCGGACAAGUGGGGACUGAGAUAAGGCCCAGACUGCAAGGGGGGGCAGGAGGGGGGAAUGUGGGAGAAUGGGCGGAAGUCUGAGGAAGCAACGCCGCGUGAGGGAGGGCGGGCUUAGGGGUGUAAACCGAUUUCGCCGGUGAAGAAGAGGGAGUGAAGGGAAUGGGGAAAGAAGCACCGGCUAACGAAGUG
RNAcentral lists this ribosomal RNA (468 nucleotides) under uncultured bacterium. Its description in RNAcentral is "partial 16S ribosomal RNA". It matches the Rfam family "Bacterial small subunit ribosomal RNA", at positions 28 to 507 of the family's 1533-position model. The record is from RNAcentral.